Molecule: ribosomal RNA, 440 nt
Filed under: Neogloboquadrina pachyderma
Lineage: Eukaryota; Foraminifera; Rotaliida; Globorotaliidae
Description: SSU rRNA
Rfam family: Eukaryotic small subunit ribosomal RNA
Source: RNAcentral
GGGAAAUCUUACCGGGUCCGGACACACUGAGGAUUGACAGGCAAUAUCUCAUGUUAACGGUAAGUUUACUUACCGCUUANCAUCGAGUGUUAAAUAUGCUAGUCCUUUCAUGAUUAUGUGAUAGGUGGUGCAUGGCCGUUCUUAGUUCGUGGAGUGAUCUGUCUGCUUAAUUGCGUUUCACUAAGGGCCCAUAAAUUCAAGGUAUGUUAGCUCUCGUCGCUCUAUGGACCCCUUAACUCCAAUAUUCUUAUUGUGUUAAGCGCGUGUCUUUAUUUUAAGAGUUUUAAGACACUGCGCAUGCUGUUGGGCUCUGAAAGCAACGAACGUGACCGCAACGUCUUGUUGCCUUAAACUAGCGUAUAUUGCAAUUUAUUGUAAUAUCGCUUACAGAGGCUAUUUAAAACUAGACGGACCGCUGUUUCUUUCUUAAACCAGAGGAA